CUUCUAAUAUACCUCGCUGCCCCCAGUAUUAGAGAAGAUGAAUCUCUAUGGUAAAUAGAGAAGAUACUUAGAAAUAGGACUGCCGAAAACAUAAGGUAAGUCUUGAUACUCAUAACAUGACCCAGCAUUCUCAACAUCAACAUUACCUGGGAACUUGUUAGAAAUGAAGACUCUGUGGGCCUACCCAGACAUCUGGAUCUGUAUUUUAACAAGAUUCCCAAGAGAUUCCUAUGUAAAAGUUUGAGAAGCACUGAAUGAGGCUGAAUUGAUGUGUUGGGAAUGGUUACAAAAAUUGAGUCAAUAGCUAUCUGCUUCUUGUUUUGCUUUGCUCAUGACCUUGAGUUUUGGUGACAAAUGAAUGAAGUUUCUCCACCUCAAAUAGUGAAAUCAGCAUCGUGAAUAAGAAAACUAAAAAAGUUACCAGGCCUUCAAACUCUGAGCAAUGGAGGCAGUGGAAAGGCAACAAGGGGCAGUUGGAAAAAAUUCAUUUCAUGAGCCCUAAGGGACUCAGCUUUGUCACUGCCUCUCUAGAAUGCCGAGCAAAUCCCUCUCCGUUUUAGGCCUUGUUGCCUUUAAACAAGGUGAUCUUAUAGCACCUUUUCAGCUUUGAUAUUCUGUUAUUCUUGGGUUUGGAUUCUACCAAAGCCUUCAUUGUCAUGAAAAGAGACUACUACUUUAGUAUCUUCAGUUUAUAUAAGAAGGGGUAAAUUUCAGAGUCAUAGUAAAGCAACAUUAAUGGAAACUGCAAGGAUUUUGGAGGGGUAUUACUUCAAUUAAACUGCUCAUGGUACUAGCACAAGGUUCUUUCAAACCUUUCAGCAUUUCUUUCAACAGCAAGAGUACACAUGGGGUAGGACAGAUAGGCUUUAUAUCUGGGAGCUUUGCCUCCAUUACAUGUUCAUGCUCGUUACUUCAUUAGAGCCUCACACAGCCUUAUCACCUAGUCAGAGCAAGGAUAAUUAUCCUCAUUUUAUUAAAACUCUGACAUAACAUGUCCUAGGUCAUAUAGGUAGGAAACAGAGUGGAACUUAAGCGUGAUUUCUUCUAGGCUGUACUAGUCCUCUAGGAAGGAAAAGCAGCCUUGAAAACCCACAGGUCUUCUCCUGGGAAAUGUUAUGUGCUCGAAGUAUUAAUUCCAUCAAUCGAGUUGCUUCAAAACACUGAUUGAUUUUAUCCUGUUGGAGCAUAUAACAGCUGUAUGACUUGAAACUUUGUGGAGCACUUUUAGUUCCCUUACAUCAUUUUGUUCUCAUAGCAGCCCUAUAAGGUGGGAAGUACAAGGUAUUUUGCCCUCGCUUAACAUAUGCAUAAGUAGAAGCCCAGCAGCAUUGCAUUAGUCUUCUAUUGCUGCUACUAAAACAGAUUAUCAUCAGUUUAGCAGCUUAAGACAACAUCUGUGUGUUACCUAACAGUUUCUGUUGGUCAGAAGUUUGCUGGAUUCAUUGCUUAGGUUCUCACUGAGUUUAAAUAAAAAUAUUAUAUGAUAAGCCUGUGGUUGUCAUAUGAGAUUCAGAGUUCUCUUAAAGGGUU
Molecule: long non-coding RNA, 1530 nt
Filed under: Marmota monax (woodchuck)
Lineage: Eukaryota; Metazoa; Chordata; Mammalia; Rodentia; Sciuridae
Source: RNAcentral